AAAUUGAAGAGUUUGAUCAUGGCUCAGAUUGAACGCUGGCGGCAGGCCUAACACAUGCAAGUCGAACGGUAACAGGAAGCAGCUUGCUGCUUUGCUGACGAGUGGCGGACGGGUGAGUAAUGUCUGGGAAACUGCCUGAUGGAGGGGGAUAACUACUGGAAACGGUAGCUAAUACCGCAUAACGUCGCAAGACCAAAGAGGGGGACCUUCGGGCCUCUUGCCAUCGGAUGUGCCCAGAUGGGAUUAGCUUGUUGGUGGGGUAACGGCUCACCAAGGCGACGAUCCCUAGCUGGUCUGAGAGGAUGACCAGCCACACUGGAACUGAGACACGGUCCAGACUCCUACGGGAGGCAGCAGUGGGGAAUAUUGCACAAUGGGCGCAAGCCUGAUGCAGCCAUGCCGCGUGUAUGAAGAAGGCCUUCGGGUUGUAAAGUACUUUCAGCGGGGAGGAAGGGAGUAAAGUUAAUACCUUUGCUCAUUGACGUUACCCGCAGAAGAAGCACCGGCUAACUCCGUGCCAGCAGCCGCGGUAAUACGGAGGGUGCAAGCGUUAAUCGGAAUUACUGGGCGUAAAGCGCACGCAGGCGGUUUGUUAAGUCAGAUGUGAAAUCCCCGGGCUCAACCUGGGAACUGCAUCUGAUACUGGCAAGCUUGAGUCUCGUAGAGGGGGGUAGAAUUCCAGGUGUAGCGGUGAAAUGCGUAGAGAUCUGGAGGAAUACCGGUGGCGAAGGCGGCCCCCUGGACGAAGACUGACGCUCAGGUGCGAAAGCGUGGGGAGCAAACAGGAUUAGAUACCCUGGUAGUCCACGCCGUAAACGAUGUCGACUUGGAGGUUGUGCCCUUGAGGCGUGGCUUCCGGAGCUAACGCGUUAAGUCGACCGCCUGGGGAGUACGGCCGCAAGGUUAAAACUCAAAUGAAUUGACGGGGGCCCGCACAAGCGGUGGAGCAUGUGGUUUAAUUCGAUGCAACGCGAAGAACCUUACCUGGUCUUGACAUCCACGGAAGUUUUCAGAGAUGAGAAUGUGCCUUCGGGAACCGUGAGACAGGUGCUGCAUGGCUGUCGUCAGCUCGUGUUGUGAAAUGUUGGGUUAAGUCCCGCAACGAGCGCAACCCUUAUCCUUUGUUGCCAGCGGUCCGGCCGGGAACUCAAAGGAGACUGCCAGUGAUAAACUGGAGGAAGGUGGGGAUGACGUCAAGUCAUCAUGGCCCUUACGACCAGGGCUACACACGUGCUACAAUGGCGCAUACAAAGAGAAGCGACCUCGCGAGAGCAAGCGGACCUCAUAAAGUGCGUCGUAGUCCGGAUUGGAGUCUGCAACUCGACUCCAUGAAGUCGGAAUCGCUAGUAAUCGUGGAUCAGAAUGCCACGGUGAAUACGUUCCCGGGCCUUGUACACACCGCCCGUCACACCAUGGGAGUGGGUUGCAAAAGAAGUAGGUAGCUUAACCUUCGGGAGGGCGCUUACCACUUUGUGAUUCAUGACUGGGGUGAAGUCGUAACAAGGUAACCGUAGGGGAACCUGCGGUUGGAUCACCUCCUUAUCUUAAAGAAGC
This 1554-nucleotide ribosomal RNA is filed under the name Escherichia coli. RNAcentral describes it as "bacterial SSU rRNA". It matches the Rfam family "Bacterial small subunit ribosomal RNA". Lineage: Bacteria; Pseudomonadati; Pseudomonadota; Gammaproteobacteria; Enterobacterales; Enterobacteriaceae. The record is from RNAcentral.